UUUUUCUUGCCUCGUCUAGAUAGGGAACGUCCCCGUUCUCUUCAACUGGAGGAUGAGUCUCCUUCUCCACUUUCAAAUGGUUUCUUUUGAUAUUUUAUUUUUUCUAUUUUAUCUCUUUUUGUAGAUAUAUAGUUAUAUAAAAGGAAUUCUUCAAUUUAUUUUUCUUUUCUAUCAUGUGGUUUUUAUUGUGGUUCUCUCCUUGCAUACAGGUUAGGAGGCUCACAGUUUCCUACACAUGUUAUCCUCUUCUUUAGAUGCAGGAGACAUGACGAUAACUCGCAGAGAAAGAUACAACUAGAUCGUCGAAGAGUACAUCCCACCACCUUCACCUUUUUUCCGGCAAAGGGAGGCAUGCCAAUGACUCCCAGAGAAUGUGCAAUUGGAUCGCUGAAGAGUAUAUCCCCACCACCUUCACCCCUUCUUCGGUAAAGUAAGGCAUAGCGAUAACUCGUAGAUAAAGACACAAUUAGAUCGCCGAAUAGUACAUCUCCAUCGCCUUCGUCGGUGUUGCUUGAUCUGUACAGCCUGCUAUUAACCUAUAUAGUAAAAAUUUGUAUGUCAACUAAAAUCUGAUAGUUUGUUAUGUACUUUAAAUCUAAUUUUCU
This 605-nucleotide long non-coding RNA is filed under the name Manihot esculenta (cassava). RNAcentral's name for it is "long non-coding RNA (MESC_LNC010720)". The record is from RNAcentral. Lineage: Eukaryota; Viridiplantae; Streptophyta; Magnoliopsida; Malpighiales; Euphorbiaceae.